ACCGGCGCACGGGUGAGUAACGCGUAUGCAACUUACCUAUCAGGAGGGGGAUAACCCGGCGAAAGUCGGACUAAUACCGCAUGAAGCAGGGGCCCCGCAUGGGGAUAUUUGCUAAAGAUUCAUCGCUGAUAGAUAGGCAUGCGUUCCAUUAGGCAGUUGGCGGGGUAACGGCCCACCAAACCGACGAUGGAUAGGGGUUCUGAGAGGAAGGUCCCCCACAUUGGUACUGAGACACGGACCAAACUCCUACGGGAGGCAGCAUG
Molecule: ribosomal RNA, 263 nt
Filed under: uncultured bacterium
Lineage: Bacteria
Description: partial 16S ribosomal RNA
Rfam family: Bacterial small subunit ribosomal RNA
Source: RNAcentral